This 1174-nucleotide ribosomal RNA is filed under the name uncultured Bifidobacterium sp. RNAcentral describes it as "bacterial SSU rRNA". It matches the Rfam family "Bacterial small subunit ribosomal RNA", at positions 173 to 1357 of the family's 1533-position model. The record is from RNAcentral. Lineage: Bacteria; Bacillati; Actinomycetota; Actinomycetes; Bifidobacteriales; Bifidobacteriaceae.
UAAGACCACAGUACCGCAUGGUACAGGGGUAAAAACUCCCCCGGAAUGAGAUGGACCCGCGUCUGAUUAGGUAGUCGGCGGGGUAACGGCCCACCGAGCCUACGACGGGUAGCCGGCCUGAGAGGGCGACCGGCCACAUUGGGACUGAGAUACGGCCCAGACUCCUACGGGAGGCAGCAGUGGGGAAUAUUGCACAAUGGGCGCAAGCCUGAUGCAGCGACGCCGCGUGCGGGAUGACGGCCUUCGGGUUGUAAACCGCUUUUGUUGGGGAGCAAGCCUUCGGGUGAGUGUACCCUUCUAAUAAGCACCGGCUAACUACGUGCCAGCAGCCGCGGUAAUACGUAGGGUGCAAGCGUUAUCCGGAAUUAUUGGGCGUAAAGGGCUCGUAGGCGGUUCGUCGCGUCCGGUGUGAAAGUCCAUCGCCUAACGGUGGAUCUGCGCCGGGUACGGGCGGGCUGGAGUGCGGUAGGGGAGACUGGAAUUCCCGGUGUAACGGUGGAAUGUGUAGAUAUCGGGAAGAACACCAAUGGCGAAGGCAGGUCUCUGGGCCGUUACUGACGCUGAGGAGCGAAAGCGUGGGGAGCGAACAGGAUUAGAUACCCUGGUAGUCCACGCCGUAAACGGUGGAUGCUGGAUGUGGGGCCCUUUCCACGGGUCCUGUGUCGGAGCUAACGCGUUAAGCAUCCCGCCUGGGGAGUACGGCCGCAAGGCUAAAACUCAAAGAAAUUGACGGGGGCCCGCACAAGCGGCGGAGCAUGCGGAUUAAUUCGAUGCAACGCGAAGAACCUUACCUGGGCUUGACAUGUGCCGGAUCGCCCCGGAAACGGGGUUUCCCUUCGGGGCCGGUUCACAGGUGGUGCAUGGUCGUCGUCAGCUCGUGUCGUGAGAUGUUGGGUUAAGUCCCGCAACGAGCGCAACCCUCGCCGCAUGUUGCCAGCGGGUUAUGCCGGGAACUCAUGUGGGACCGCCGGGGUCAACUCGGAGGAAGGUGGGGAUGACGUCAGAUCAUCAUGCCCCUUACGUCCAGGGCUUCACGCAUGCUACAAUGGCCGGUACAACGGGAUGCGACGCGGCGACGCGGAGCGGAUCCCUGAAAACCGGUCUCAGUUCGGAUCGCAGUCUGCAACUCGACUGCGUGAAGGCGGAGUCGCUAGUAAUCGCGGAUCAGCAACGU